AUUUAUUUGAUAAUAGCAUAAUUAUAUUAACUUUCUAUAUAUUAAAAACAAAUAAAUAGGAGUGCUUUCUGUGUCGUUCACAACAUCCAGGGUGCUGGAGAGAUAUAGUUCGGUCGGCACCCGUACUUCGGUCCUUUUUCCAGCCUCCUGUUCAACAUGCUCCACCGAUACCUCUGGAUCCCACUGCACAAACCUGCAGAAGUCACACACACCCAUGGCACCUCGGAUCUACACUCCUGAGGGGAGCUUGCUGGCGGAUCAUGCUCCCCGCAGCGAGCACAGCAGACUAAGAAGAGACGGAACUGCGGUCGUGCCAAGAAGGGCCGUGGGCAUGUGCAGCCCAUACGCUGCACAAACUAUGCUCGCUGUGUGCCCAAGGUCAUCAAAAAGUUUGUCGUCAGGAACAUCGUGGAGGCUGCUGCUGUCAGGGAUUUCUGAGGCUAGCGUGUUUGAAUCUCUACAUGAAACUGCACUACUGCAUGAGCUGUGCCAUCCACAGUAAGGUGGUCAGGAACCACUUCACAGAGGCCAGGAAGGACUGUACACCACCACCCCGCUUCAGGUCCAGUGGUGGCCCACCCAGAGCUCCUCCAAAGCCCAUGUAAAACAGAUUGAUUUUAAUCUAUUUUUCACUUGCAAAACAUUUAAAUAGAUCUUUAUAAAUA
Long non-coding RNA from Coregonus clupeaformis (lake whitefish), 665 nucleotides. RefSeq lists it as uncharacterized. The transcript has 5 exons. NCBI's taxonomy places the organism in Eukaryota, Metazoa, Chordata, Actinopteri, Salmoniformes, Salmonidae. The record is from RefSeq and is a predicted model, not a curated record.